RNAcentral lists this ribosomal RNA (252 nucleotides) under uncultured bacterium. RNAcentral's name for it is "partial 16S ribosomal RNA". It matches the Rfam family "Bacterial small subunit ribosomal RNA", at positions 524 to 776 of the family's 1533-position model. The record is from RNAcentral.
UACAGAGGGUGCAAGCGUUAAUCGGAAUUACUGGGCGUAAAGCGUGCGUAGUCGGUUAUCUAAGUCGGGUGUGAAAUCCCCGGGCUCAACCUGGGAAUUGCAUUCGAUACUGGAUAGCUAGAGUUCGGCAGAGGGAAGCGGAAUUUCCGGUGUAGCGGUGAAAUGCGUAGAUAUCGGAAGGAACAUCAGUGGCGAAAGCGGCUUCCUGGUCCAGCACCGACGUCAGGCACGAAAGCGUGGGGAGCAAACAGG